GAUGAACGCUAGCGGCAGGCCUAAUACAUGCAAGUCGAGGGGCAGCACGGGUAGCAAUACUUGGUGGCGACCGGCGCACGGGUGCGUAACGCGUAUGCAAUCUACCUUUUACUGGGGCAUAGCCCGGAGAAAUUCGGAUUAAUACCCCAUAAUAUCAUUUGAUGGCAUCUGAUGAUGAUUAAAGAACUUCGGUAAAAGAUGAGCAUGCGUGACAUUAGCUAGUUGGUGAGGUAACGGCUCACCAAGGCGACGAUGUCUAGGGGAUCUGAGAGGACUACCCCCCACACUGGUACUGAGACACGGACCAGACUCCUACGGGAGGCAGCAGUAAGGAAUAUUGGUCAAUGGGGGCAACCCUGAACCAGCCAUGCCGCGUGCAGGAAGACGGACCUAUGGUUUGUAAACUGCUUUUGUACGGGAGAAAACCCCUUUACGUGUAAAGGAUUGAUAGUACCGUAAGAAUAAGGAUCGGCUAACUUCGUGCCAGCCGCCGCAGUAA
RNAcentral lists this ribosomal RNA (499 nucleotides) under uncultured bacterium. RNAcentral's name for it is "partial 16S ribosomal RNA". It matches the Rfam family "Bacterial small subunit ribosomal RNA", at positions 28 to 523 of the family's 1533-position model. The record is from RNAcentral.